Molecule: ribosomal RNA, 483 nt
Filed under: uncultured bacterium
Lineage: Bacteria
Description: partial 16S ribosomal RNA
Rfam family: Bacterial small subunit ribosomal RNA
Source: RNAcentral
AUUGAACGCUGGCGGCAGGCCUAACACAUGCAAGUCGAGCGGAUGAAGGGAGCUUGCUCCUGGAUUCAGCGGCGGACGGGUGAGUAAUGCCUAGGAAUCUGCCUGGUAGUGGGGAUAACGUCCGGAAACGGGCGCUAAUACCGCCAUCGUCCCGAGGGGGAAAGUGGGGGGGUUUUGGGACCCAAGCUUUCCAAUGAGCCUAGGUCGGGUUAGCUAGUUGGUGGGGUAAAGGCCUACCAAGGCGACGAUCCGUAACUGGUCUGGGAGGAUGAUCAGUCACACUGGAACUGAGACACGGUCCAGACUCCUACGGGAGGCAGCAGUGGGGAAUAUUGGACAAUGGGCGAAAGCCUGAUCCAGCCAUGCCGCGUGUGUGAAGAAGGUCUUCGGAUUGUAAAGCACUUUAAGUUGGGAGGAAGGGCAGUAAGUUAAUACCUUGCUGUUUUGACGUUACCAACAGAAUAAGCACCGGCUAACUUCGUG